AAGGAAGGCGCGAGAGUCCUCCCAACGAACGAAGCAAGCGGCGCGGCAGAGAGACUACAUUCUUGAGAACAUUGCAAUUGGUGAUCGCCCGACGUUCUUGGAAAGAUCCGGACCGAGACUGACGGCCGCGAGGCCGUUCGGAAAGCAGUACAAGCUACUUACAGGCGCCACAACAAAGAUCACAGACCAGAAGCCGUCCGAUCCAGAGGAUCCUUCACCAACGUCGGUGACACCUGGCGAGUGGAUCUGGGUGAAAAAACACCAUCGAAAGACCUAGAAGACCGGUGGAAGGGGCCAUACAAGGUACUCUUGGCCACACCCUUUUCUGUUUCUGUAGAGGACCGACGUGGGGCCCAGUGGCACCACCUGAGCCGGUGCCGCAAAGCAGAUACUCCUGGCAGAUCGUGGACUGAGACCCUGACCGACCUAGCUGCACUCCAAGCCAAGGACAAACACUCCUCAUCCCAAGACGAUGGGCCACAGCGUGCCCUUGGGAAAGUACCUGGUAGGAUUCCUUCUGGUAGUCCUGUUCCAAGAAGGAGCGGGAGACAACAUCGCCAGGUACCCACCGCCUAAACCAACAACAACAGGUCAGGUCUCGUUAAGGUACUGUCGAGGGAUAGAAAGUAUCUUUGAGCUGAAUUUUUGUGACAUGCUGCCCUGUGGGACCAGGAUGGACCGGGUCUACCAGGCAGAAAAGUACAUGUGCGUAAGUACCAGACGAGACGGUAGCUACAUCAGAGGUUAUUCCUGCGUGGAGUGGUCUCCGGCAUCGUGGCUUACCCAUCCUGGGUACAAGGAGAGCUAUUAUCCCCUGUGGUCCAGCUACAAGGAAAUCCAAAAGGGAAUCUCCCUUACCAGAAGAUUAUAUGGCUAUAAGGAAGUCUGGAGCAAUAAUGGUCUAGCAGUCAAGGAAGAGUCAAUAUUCAUAAAGUUAAGGGCAGAUUUACUCAUUCCCGAAAACAGAUCUCAUAAGACAGACAAAGGCCUGGUUUUUCUAAUAUUAAGGGCGGAUACUUAUGGAGAGGA
Long non-coding RNA from Gadus chalcogrammus (walleye pollock), 1029 nucleotides. RefSeq lists it as uncharacterized. The transcript has 3 exons. Lineage: Eukaryota; Metazoa; Chordata; Actinopteri; Gadiformes; Gadidae. The record is from RefSeq and is a predicted model, not a curated record.